UUUUGCAUUAAACUGUGUAAAUACAUCUAAAUGCCACUUCAGGUGCAGCAUCAGUGCCACUUCUGCAGUGCAGAGAUGGAUUUU
Sinocyclocheilus grahami is the source of this 84-nucleotide long non-coding RNA. RefSeq lists it as uncharacterized. The record is from RefSeq and is a predicted model, not a curated record. The transcript has 3 exons. NCBI's taxonomy places the organism in Eukaryota, Metazoa, Chordata, Actinopteri, Cypriniformes, Cyprinidae.